Molecule: long non-coding RNA, 5198 nt
Filed under: Sarcophilus harrisii (Tasmanian devil)
Lineage: Eukaryota; Metazoa; Chordata; Mammalia; Dasyuromorphia; Dasyuridae
Description: lncRNA (ENSSHAG00000022733.1)
Source: RNAcentral
UACUCUCUUUACUGUGAUGUUGAUUUCCAUCAGAAUUGGAAAGAACCCUAGCAGCCAUUUGAUCCAUACAUGCUGGAUCAAGAAUUCAUUCUACAAUGCCAUCAUCAAGUGGUUACAAGCUUUAGCUGUAAAAUUAUAGUGAGGGGGAACCAAGUACUUCUGAAGAUAACGCAUUUGACUUCUUUUUGGCUCUAAUUGCUAUGAAGUUUUUUCCCCCCACUCUGAAUUACCUCUUUGCUACUUUUAAUUACUUUUAGUCCUCUUGGAUAUUAAGCAGAACAACUUUAACCCUUUUUCUAUGUGACAUUGCUACAAAUAUGACUAUUCUACCAUUACAUCUCCUUUUGCCUAGGCUAUGUCUCCAUUUUUUUCAACAGAUCACCAUAAAAUAUUGUUUCCAGUCCUCUCACCAUCUUCCUUACUGUCUUCUAGACACCUUUCAGCUUCUCCAGUGACAUUCCCUAAAAGUGAUGCUCAGUGCUCUCUAUGUGAACCAAUCAGGCACAGUACAGCAGAAUUCAUUUCUCUUAGUAUUAUGUGUUAUGAUACACCAUAGACAAAUAAAAGAAAGAAACAGGAUGAGACUUGAAACAUGCCUGUAUUUAAUAAACUUCAAGGUCAAAUGAAUCAAAAGUAUUACAAGGCUACAAAAGAGCAAAUAUUCGUCUAUGGUGUAUCUUCUUCUAUCCAAAUCAUUUAUUUAAAAUUAAUUUAAUGAUCUUUUGAACCAUUCUGGAGGUUUUUACAUACUUUAUUGUCACUUCAUGGCAAUGUUAGUUGAUUUGAGAGGGCAUUCAUAAAAUUUAUUCUAUAUGAUGCUUUCUUUUUCUUCAGGGAUUUUCAAGUUAAUUUCCUUUACUUCAUAAUAUCAUUCAUUGUAUUCCCUGACCUCUUUUUAUCAACUUUGUACUUAUUUCUGCUUUCUCAGUUUUUCUAGUUUUUUUCUAGCUAUAAUUAACCUUUUCAGAGGAAGUUCUUUCCCUUUCUUACUAGACAGUUUGAUGCAGGUCAGCACCGUUGAGCUUACUCCCAUUCAUGACCCUUCAUUUUCUCCCAUCCAGACCUCCAGUGUUGGGUAAUGGAGAACUAGCUAAAAAAAUCAGUCAUUAUGAGCCUGAACAGCAUGUUUUGGUAUGAUACAAGCCCUCAUGUAUGAGAGGCUGAGGAACUUGUCUCCAAGAGAGUUGUGAUAAUAUAUAAUAGAAAUGCCCUGAUGAAACUUUGGAACAGGCAUAGAUAUUUUAUAAUUUCGUUGUGUCUGCUAAUCACUUGAUGAAUGGCACCUUCUUUCUUUAAUUGGCUACAGUCAUGGAACUAAACCUGGAAAAUCCUUCAAAGGGCCUUGGUUAUAUUCUAUCUUUGCCUCUUGGAUGGACUUCUGCCCUUGGUUUCACUCCUUUAGCAGUGGUGAGAAAGAAUGCAAUAAGUGAUGAGGUCUUGGUUCUUCUUUCUCCAAGGCCAAAAUGUGGCCCUGUGAGUAUAAUCUUGGUUCUUUGUCUGCCUCAAUAUUUUUUGGAAGACAUUAGAGACUGUGAACUUGUACAUUUUGAAAAGUCAGGAGGAUGAGCCACUUGAUGUUCUGAGAAGCAUACAUGCUAGGUUUAAAAAAAUUUUUUUUAAAUUUAUUUUAACAUAAAUUGCUUUAUGAAUCAUUUUGGGAGAAAAAAAUAAGAGCAAAAGGGAAAAACCAUGGCAGAGAUUUAAAAAAAAAAAAACAGAAAAAAGAAAUGAACAUAGCAUGUGUUGAUUUACAUUCAGUUUCCUUAGAUCUUUUUCUGGAUGCAGAUGGCAUUUUCUGUCCAAAGUCUAUUAGGAUUGCUUUGGAUCACUGAGUCACUGAGAAGAACCAAGUCUUUCAUCACACAUUCUUGCUGUUAUUGUGUAUAACGUAUUCCUGAUUCUUCUUGUUUCGCUCAGCAUCAGUUCAUGUAAAUCUUUCCAGGCCUUUCUAAAAUCAGCUUGCUCAUUUUUUAUAGAACAAUAAUAUUCCAUUAUCUUCUUAUACCCCAACUUGUUCAGCCAUCCCCCAAUUGAUGGGCAUCUAUUCAGUUUUCAAUUUUUUGCUACCACAAAAAGAGCUCCUGAUAGGUUUUUGCAGCUACUCCAUCAACAGUUUCUUGAAGAUACUAGCAACAGGGCUCCUUUAGUUCCUACCCACUGUGUUAGCUGAGACAAGGACUCAUCUGGCAGCAAUGAAUCUGAACUUGGUGGGUCUCCUGCUACAUAGAAUAGAUGUGAAUUUUGAACCCACUAUCCCGACCAAAAUAAUAAAAAGGAGAGUAUACCUCCUGAGAUACUGGAAGAAAAUGCUUGUACUUCUGUUCCAGUUACAUCUUUGAAGUAAAGACUUUUAUAAAAUAGGUUAAAUGGGGGUAAUAGUAAUGUUUAUGGCAUUAAAUAAGAGACAUCAUAACUCUUCAGGGGUACCCUUUUAAACCUGAAUGAGGCACCUAGUAACAUGAUUCUGGGUUAGUCAGAUUAGAGACAUCCUGAAGGCAACUGUAAAAAGCAUCUGUGGUUGGAGUUGUACUGUGCCUUUCAAUGGACAUUUCUGAUAGAAGUCUUUUUUACCUUGGUCCCAGGUGACACAAUACACAAAGCACUUGUCUUGGAGUCAUAAGACUCAUGAUUGAAUACUCUCUUAGUCACGGACUAGCUAUGAGAUUCUGGGCAAGUCACUUCUUUUAUCAUCAGUUUUCAAAAGCUGUAAAAUAGCAGUUGCCUGCUAUUUCUUUUGUAUCAAAUAACUAUAUUGGUUAUUAUUAAUAAAUCUUAACACAUUAUCUAAAAUGAGCUAUUCUUAUUGUUGUUGCACUGAAUGGUGUGUUAUUGGUUCCUUCUCUAAUCCACAGUCACCUGCUUUUCUUCUGGUUCACUGAAGUUAGUUGAAUUCAAGGAUUUCUAGCUGUUAGUUUUGGAAGUAAAACAGAGUCAGAAGGAAUCCUCUUUAGUGGUGAUUUCAAGAAGUAAUUUAAAAUGGCAUUCCAAUGGUGGUGCAACAAAGAUAAUAGUAAGUGACAAAGGUAAUAGUAAGCAUGGCAAAGUAUAGGGAGCUGAUAAGGUAUCAGUAGUGUUUUUUCUUUAGGAUUUGCCCUGUGGCAAAUUAUCACCUUUCUUCUUAAUCAUGUUUAUAUUGUUUUAUCUAGUUAAUGUUUAGACGCUAUUUUAUUGAGCCCUUCUAGUGGUUUUGUGGUGGUGAGUAGAAACUGAGUUUAGGCACAAACUCUCAAUGUCCAAUUCAUCAGAUUUUAAGGACUUCAGUGGUAAUUUGGUCCUACUCUCUUCCCCUCAUUUUACAAUUGUGUAAAAAGAGGCUCAUGAGUUGUUAGAAGUCCCAGAGCAUUUUCUAUUAAUUAACUCUUUAAAAAUGGGUCAUCCAUGAAGUUAAUACACAGUCAUUUGGUGGUAUGAAAAGUAGAACACCACCCAACCUAUCUUCUCCACCUCUUGGCCCUUACCUCUGAAUUUGGAGAAAAUUUGGAGAAGAAUUGUAUGUGGGGAUGGGGAUGAGGAAGUUUGGGAACAGUUGGGGAGGAUUUCAGAUAGCAGCAUGAUAUCAUGGAUAAGCCAUUGGGUUUGUGGUGAGGAACACCUGGUUUUAUGCACUGUUCUAGAUAUUUACUAGUUCUGUGACCUUGGAUUAAACACUUAAUCUCCUUGUGCCUCAGUGACUUGUCUUGUAAAAUAAUGAGGUUGGACUUGAGGAGCUCUGGGUCCUUGUAGAUCUAAAUCUAUGAUCUAAUGAUUUGUUCAUUUCUUAAGAUGUAUGAUUAAACAAAUCACUUCAACUUUGACUCUCGUUGGUUUCUUGAUCUAUAAAAUGGGGGAAUAAUAUUUAUAUCUCUUACAUUCUAUAGGACUGCUGUUUUCCCCUGAGGCAACUCAGGUUAGUUAAGUGACUUGCCCAAGGUCACACAGCUAGGAAGUGUUAAAUGUCUGAAGCCAGGUUUGAAUUCAGGUCCUCCUGACUUCAGGGCUGAUGCUCUAUCCACUGUACCAUCUAGCUGCCCUUUUUUUUAAUAAACCUUAUAGCACCAUAGAAAUGGGGUGAAAUGGUUACUGUAAGGGAAAGGCUCAAUUAAAUCACUUACCUGAAACCUAUAAAUUAUAACUUAAAAAAUUUAAACUUGUCUUAACCAAUUAAUCAAUCUUGAGUCCUUGAGCAGGACUCAUAUUCUGGAAUGGUAUUGCACAGAAGUAUUCAAAUUUGGCCAAGGAAACCAGAUUAUGCCCUAAAUAAAAUAUCAACUCAUUUUGGAAGUGAGAGAUUGUUCCAGCUAAACCCUUAUGAAGCAAUCAAUGGGGGAGGGUGUGGGGAAAAGGAGGAAAAGAGACUUGACAUUUUCUAUCUUCUCACUACUAUCCUAGCACUGUCUCAGGAUCAGUGUCUGCAUCAGGAUCCAAGGAAGCCUGGAUGAAGAUUCAGGGCUACACAAAGAGCCCAGCAGAAAAACUAUACCAUACCUAAAGGGAACACAUAUAAGGACUUUGAGGAAUGGUUACCUUUUCCCCACAUGUGCUUCUAAAACUGGAGCUCACAUUCCCUCAGACUCUGUAUGCACCAAUGGGAGAGUGCACCACAGACUCUUGGGGGUUCGUUUUGUUCUAACUUUUUUAAUACUACUUUUCUAACAACUAAUUUGAGUCUGUCUGCACAUAUCAACUAAUAACCAUGAAAGGAAGCACACUAGUGGGGACUGGAGCUAUAGCAUUAGAAAGCCAUCCUUCUCAGUCAACUCUAGAGCUUUGAAGCAAUGUAAAUAACCAUAUUUUGGGGACCCAAAUAGUGAGAGUGGGAGUUGGGAAAAUAAUAUGAACUAUAUUAUUAUUAAACAACUGACAACUAGAGUGUCUUCCCAAGCCUUCUCUUCUUCAGUCUAACCUUUGCUAGUUCUUCUUGCUGUUGUGAUCUUGGACAUCAUAUUAAUUUUCCAGGCCAAUUUUACCUCAUAUAAAUAAUGAAGGGCCUAGCGUAGCCAAUUUCUCUCCCUUUACCCUGAACCCUUCUUUUCUAUCUAUUCUCUUCUUACUUUUGGCUAUUUUCUUCUUGGGGAUAUUCAGCCCUCAGAAUAUCUGCAGAUAACCUUGUAGGUAAUUUCCGUUGCUAAUGCACUGCUACUUCUGUGGAACAACUUGACAACUUAACUUUGUACUCCAUUGUUUCUAUGAAAAAAUGUGUUCUAUAUGCCUAACCACCA